RNAcentral lists this unclassified non-coding RNA (376 nucleotides) under soil metagenome. Its description in RNAcentral is "partial contains 5.8S ribosomal RNA, internal transcribed spacer 2, and large subunit ribosomal RNA". The stretch from base 1 to 120 matches the Rfam family "5.8S ribosomal RNA", at positions 35 to 154 of the family's 154-position model. The record is from RNAcentral.
GAUGAAGAACGCAGCGAAAUGCGAUAAGUAAUGUGAAUUGCAGAAUUCAGUGAAUCAUCGAAUCUUUGGACGCAUCUUGCGCUCCUUGGUAUUCUGAGGAGCAUGCCUGUUUGAGUGUCAUUAAAUUCUCAACUACACUGACUUUGAAUUGGUGUGGCUUGGAUUUGGGGGGAAAAUUGUUGUGGGCUUUUUGUAUAGUCUGCUCCCCUGAAAUUGAUUAGCGGUACCUUUGUGGAACUGUCUACAGGUGUGAUAAUUAUCUACAUCUUAGACAUCUGCUGGAAUGCUGCUUUCUAAACCUUACUUGUAUUGACAAUCUUGACCUCAAAUCAGGUAGGACUACCCGCUGAACUUAAGCAUAUCAAUAAGCGGAGGA